This is a long non-coding RNA of Tribolium castaneum (red flour beetle), 390 nucleotides long. RefSeq lists it as uncharacterized. The transcript is spliced from 2 exons. Lineage: Eukaryota; Metazoa; Arthropoda; Insecta; Coleoptera; Tenebrionidae. The record is from RefSeq and is a predicted model, not a curated record.
UGCUAAUCAAUAAUCAUUUUGUCAUAAACAUCUAGGUUUUUUGUCCUUGAAAAGGGUCAAAACACGAUAAAUGUCAAAAAAUGUCACAUUUUGAGGAAAUUCGAAAAAAAAUUAAAACGGAUUCAGAAUCCUUGAAUAAUUAUGCUUAUGAAAAGCUAAAUUAUCUGGUUUUUGAACUGUCUAAUUUCAACAAAAAAAUUAAAAGCACUAGAUACAACUAAACUUUAUCUUUACGAACCAAACUUUGGCCGAUACCUCAAAAACUGUUAGCCGUAGAUGAAAAAUAAGGACAGUUUUGGAAUCCUCAGACUAUUUUACGUAAGAAAAACUUACUUUACAGAUGGUUUGACUCUCCAGAUUACCAAAAAUAAUUAAAUAAAAUAUUCAGAA